This 308-nucleotide unclassified non-coding RNA is filed under the name uncultured fungus. Its description in RNAcentral is "sequence contains ITS1". Lineage: Eukaryota; Fungi. The record is from RNAcentral.
UCCAUCGCAGAUUAUUUCAGAACCGGGACUACACAGUUCAACAAAAACGAGACAGCCUGGCAUAAUGCCAGGCUGUCUCGUUUAGAAAUAUUUAUGCUCGUUGAACCGUGUAUUUUAUUUUAUGGAAACCUGACAGAUCGCUUCGCGGAUCUUUGCAGGCGGUUCACUCUUGUUGAGAUACCCAUCCACCCCUACUCGAAAGACCUGCUCGAUGAAGUAAUUGUCGUCGCAGGCGCUUAGAAUAAUAAUGGACACGGGCACAGCAUUCAUGCGCAAUUGUUGUGCCACGUGAAUGCCUUUCAUAUCCG